UACGUAGGGCGCAAGCGUUGUCCGGAAUUAUUGGGCGUAAAGAGCUCGUAGGCGGCCUGUCGCGUCUGCUGUGAAAUCCCGGGGCUUAACCCCGGGCGUGCAGUGGAUACGGGCUGGCUGGAGGCAGGCAGGGGAGAACGGAAUUCCCGGUGUAGCGGUGAAAUGCGUAGAUAUGCGGAGGAACACCGAUGGCGAAGGCAAUCCCCUGGGCCUGCACUGACGCUCAUGCACGAAAGCGUGGGGAGCAAACAGG
Molecule: ribosomal RNA, 253 nt
Filed under: uncultured bacterium
Lineage: Bacteria
Description: partial 16S ribosomal RNA
Rfam family: Bacterial small subunit ribosomal RNA
Source: RNAcentral